UACGGAAGGCAGCAGUGGGGAAUAUUGCACAAUGGGCGCAAGCCUGAUGCAGCCAUGCCGCGUGUAUGAAAAAGGCCUUCGGGUUGUAAAGUACUUUCAGUCGUGAGGAAGGUGUUAAGGUUAAUAACCUUAGCAAUUGACGUUAGCGACAGAAGAAGCACCGGCUAACUCCGUGCCAGCAGCCGCGGUAAUACGGAGGGUGCGAGCGUUAAUCGGAAUUACUGGGCGUAAAGGGCACGCAGGCGGUUAAUUAAGUUGGAUGUGAAAUCCCCGGGCUUAACCUGGGAAUGGCAUUCAAGACUGGUUAGCUAGAGUCUUGUAGAGGGGGGUUAGAAUUCCAUGUGUAGCGGUGAAAUGCGUAGAGAUGUGGAGGAAUACCGGUGGCGAAGGCGGCCCCUGGACAAAGCUGAUGCUCAUGUGCGAAAGCGUGGGGAGCAAAC
This 440-nucleotide ribosomal RNA is filed under the name uncultured bacterium. Its description in RNAcentral is "bacterial SSU rRNA". It matches the Rfam family "Bacterial small subunit ribosomal RNA", at positions 340 to 773 of the family's 1533-position model. The record is from RNAcentral.